AACCGCGGCGGGUGCUAUACUGCAAGUCGAGCGGACAGAUGGGAGCUUGCUCCCUGAUGUUAGCGGCGGACGGGUGAGUAACACGUGGGUAACCUGCCUGUAAGACUGGGAUAACUCCGGGAAACCGGGGCUAAUACCGGAUGGUUGUUUGAACCGCAUGGUUCAAACAUAAAAGGUGGCUUCGGCUACCACUUACAGAUGGACCCGCGGCGCAUUAGCUAGUUGGUGAGGUAACGGCUCACCAAGGCAACGAUGCGUAGCCGACCUGAGAGGGUGAUCGGCCACACUGGGACUGAGACACGGCCCAGACUCCUACGGGAGGCAGCAGUAGGGAAUCUUCCGCAAUGGACGAAAGUCUGACGGAGCAACGCCGCGUGAGUGAUGAAGGUUUUCGGAUCGUAAAGCUCUGUUGUUAGGGAAGAACAAGUACCGUUCGAAUAGGGCGGUACCUUGACGGUACCUAACCAGAAAGCCACGGCUAACUACGUGCCAGCAGCCGCGGUAAUACGUAGGUGGCAAGCGUUGUCCGGAAUUAUUGGGCGUAAAGGGCUCGCAGGCGGUUUCUUAAGUCUGAUGUGAAAGCCCCCGGCUCAACCGGGGAGGGUCAUUGGAAACUGGGGAACUUGAGUGCAGAAGAGGAGAGUGGAAUUCCACGUGUAGCGGUGAAAUGCGUAGAGAUGUGGAGGAACACCAGUGGCGAAGGCGACUCUCUGGUCUGUAACUGACGCUGAGGAGCGAAAGCGUGGGGAGCGAACAGGAUUAGAUACCCUGGUAGUCCACGCCGUAAACGAUGAGUGCUAAGUGUUAGGGGGUUUCCGCCCCUUAGUGCUGCAGCUAACGCAUUAAGCACUCCGCCUGGGGAGUACGGUCGCAAGACUGGAACUCAAAGGAAUUGACGGGGGCCCCACAAGCGGUGGAGCAUGGGGUUUAAUUCGAAGCACCCCAAGAACUUACCAGGUCUUGAAUCCUCUG
Molecule: ribosomal RNA, 972 nt
Filed under: Bacillus sp. (in: firmicutes)
Lineage: Bacteria; Bacillati; Bacillota; Bacilli; Caryophanales; Bacillaceae
Description: bacterial SSU rRNA
Rfam family: Bacterial small subunit ribosomal RNA
Source: RNAcentral